Non-coding RNA from Nelumbo nucifera (sacred lotus), 1018 nucleotides. The record is from RefSeq and is a predicted model, not a curated record. NCBI's taxonomy places the organism in Eukaryota, Viridiplantae, Streptophyta, Magnoliopsida, Proteales, Nelumbonaceae.
ACUUGAUCUUUCUAUAAUGAGAAAUAGGUGACUCCAUUUGCUAUGUUGUCACGCUCUGCAGCUGGAAUAAGAGGAUCAACAUUGAUAAUCAACAUGCCCGGUAAUCCUAAUGCGGCAACUGAAUGCAUAGAGGCCUUGAUGCCUGCCCUUAAGCAUGCGAUGAAGCAGUUAAAAGGAGAUAAAAGAGAGAAACAUCCUCGUCAUGUUCCCCAUGCACAGGCAGAGCCUGUGGAUACUUGGGAAAGAAGUUAUAUGUUAGCUUCUGGGAGUUCUGAAUCUAAUUGCUGUUGUUCACAUUGAAGCUCUUGGAAUUGGAGGAAUUGAAACAAGGCAUUCUUCAUCAAACCUGACAACUCUUGGGGAAUGAACUAUUUGGGAGAGUCAUUGGAUACUUGGAAAAGAAGUCAUCUUCUGGGAGUUCCUGAGUCAAAGUUGUUCUUGUUUAGAUCGAAGUUUUUGAAAUUAAAAUGAAGUAUUCUCCAUCAAACAUGGCAAUCCUUGGGGAAUGAACCAAGUGAAGAAGCUACUUUAUACAAAGGCAUAUGCAAAUCCCCACCUAUUACUAAUAAAGGUCGUUAGAACGAACCCUGAUACACGUUUUUUUCGGAAAACAUCAACUACUGUUCAGAUUUGAACUCUAAAACAAGGGAAAUCGAAUUUGGUCCCCACAAGACCAUCUUCACACUGUCGUCGUAGUCCCUUGCAGCCGUGCAUUGGGAAUAUCUCUCCAUAAAAAACGGCUAUAAAAGCCUGUGAGGACCAAAUCUGAACUCAAAACAAAAUAGUUUACGGAGCUUGCAUGGAUUGAGACAAUGGCUUAAAUAUCAUAAUAAAUAGUUUACAUCUGCCAUGUUUUCUCUCACUUGGCAGAAAGAAAGCAGUGUUGUUGUACUUACUGGCUCAUGAGUCAUGUCUACCUAUUUGGUUUUAUCAGAUGUUAGUUGUAUAUACAGUGAGACUUUCUUUAUGUAAUGAAGUUGAUUGAUGUUGUAAUAAUAAAUUAAUAACAUUCCUUGUA